Molecule: ribosomal RNA, 494 nt
Filed under: uncultured bacterium
Lineage: Bacteria
Description: partial 16S ribosomal RNA
Rfam family: Bacterial small subunit ribosomal RNA
Source: RNAcentral
GACGAACGCUGGCGGCGUGCUUAACACAUGCAAGUCGAACGGUGAAGCGCCUUCCUUUUUGGUGAGUGUGGAUGAGUGGCGAACGGGUGAGUAACACGUGAGUAACCUGCCCCCUUCUUCUGGAUAACCGCAUGAAAGUGUGGCUAAUACGGGAUAUUCUGGGUCUGUCGCAUGAUGGGUCUGGGAAAGAUAUUGUUUCGGUGGGGGAUGGGCUCGCGGCCUAUCAGCUUGUUGGUGGGGUGAUGGCCUACCAAGGCGGUGACGGGUAGCCGGCCUGAGAGGGUGGACGGUCACACUGGGACUGAGACACGGCCCAGACUCCUACGGGAGGCAGCAGUGGGGAAUAUUGCACAAUGGGCGCAAGCCUGAUGCAGCGACGCCGCGUGAGGGAUGGAGGCCUUCGGGUUGUGAGCCUCUUUCGCCAGUGAAGCAGGCCUGCCUCGUUUGUGGGUGGGUUGACGGUAGCUGGAUAAGAAGCGCCGGCUAACUACGUG